RNAcentral lists this long non-coding RNA (2467 nucleotides) under Sus scrofa (pig). Its description in RNAcentral is "lncRNA (ENSSSCG00065029049.1)". The record is from RNAcentral. Lineage: Eukaryota; Metazoa; Chordata; Mammalia; Artiodactyla; Suidae.
CAGCCUUUCCCGACGUGCCCCGCGCGCGGCCUUUCCCGCUCGCACCCGCACCCCGCACGACCUGGGAAGGUCGGGGGUGCUGGCUUCGGGGCCCAGCAGCCAGCGGCGACGCCGGGUCCCGGGGGGGCGGGUUUCAAGGAAGCGGCUGUGGUCGGCAUGGGGAGAGCUCCUCGCGGUGUCCGGCUCCGGAAGAGCGUCUGCCCGCAGGCUCUUGGCUCCGAGGCGGCCGGAGCCCGGCCCCACUUCCGGAGGCUUUCUGUUUGGGGAAGUCAGGCUGCCGAGUCACGCAGGUGUCCGUGGCUGCGCCCGCAGACCUGAGAUCAUUAGGGUUUUUUGUUUUUUUGUUUUUCUGUCUUUUUAGGGCCGCACUUGUGGCAUAUGGAGGUUCCCAAGCUAGGGGUCAAAUCGGAGCUGUAGCUGAUGGCCUACACCACAGCUCUGGGCAAUGCCGGAUCCUUAACCCACUGAAAGAAGCCAGGGAUCAAACCUGUGUCCUCAUGGAUGCUAGUCAGAUUAGUUACUGCUGAGCCACAACUGGCAACUACUGUUGGGGUUUUUCUGUAGCCUGGCAGAACCCCGGAGUCCUUGCGUCUUCCACCUCCAGUAUGGAUACACCCUGUCCCAAGUCAAAAGUCCUGAGGAGGAAAGGGGCCCUUCAUGGGGAGCGGAACGGGGGGGAGGGGGGGGCAGAGGCUGCCCCUGGCCUCCCCCCCCCAAGUGCCUGUCACCAGUGGAGCUUACUGGGUGACUCCUGCGAUGUAGGCCAGAGGGAGAGAUGUCCGGCCUGGGCCCUCACGGUCUUGCAGUGGCCUUUAGAUUUUCUCCAAAAGAGGUUGUGUAUGUAGCAUAGAUACUCUGACAUGGUGAAAUAUAAACUAUUAAAUGAAAACUGAAAACUUACAGUAUUUUGUGUCCUCUUUUGGAAGGGUUUUUAUUUAAAACAUGGAAAAAAUGGAAGAGGCCUGAGUCUGUUGAGCCCUGAAAGUUCCUGAAGUUACUACAGUCUCAUCCUAACUUGAUAUGCUCCUGAGGCUAGUGUUGCCACACGUUGGCUGGUAUAUCCCAGGAAUGGACUCUUCAUUCUUUUAAUGGCUAUCCUACUCUUUGAAAGUUUUAACAGACUUCGGGAGAAGGAAUGGAAACAUGACAUAGUCUUUGCUGUUUGGCUCUGGGAGGAACAGCUCAUGGCUCUUUACCUGGCGUCUAGCUUUCCUUGAUGACUAUUAUUAACAGAGCCAGGCUCAUGAGGAAGCACUCUGACUGUCUCCGGAGAAGAAUGGAAUUUAACUCCAGUGAUAUGUGUUGCAUGGAUAAGGCCCUGGAUACACCUAGUUCACUAGAGUUGUUUGGAAGUAAAGCAAAAAGCUAUCCCACUCAAAAGAUAAACUUCUAGCUGUAUUUGAAGAAAGAGGUUCCUGUUGUAUUUCCCUCUGCUGGAAAUGUGUUUUAUCACCUUCCUGCCUUCCAGAGUUCAGGGUUACUGAAGAUAGUGUGCUCAGCAUUGCAGAGGUUACAAAGUGGACGCGUCAAGACACAGACCCUGCCCUUGAAGAUCUUGCAGGAUGACAAGGCCCAUAAGAAAGUAUUAAGUGUCCUGAGAGAGGACCAACUAAAAUGCUAUGAUUCAGCAUGAUUCAGGAUUCCUUUAAAAUGAGUGCCAGUUGAGCAGCAAUACCUGCCAACUCCCAAUUUCCGCUUAAAAUGUCCAGUUGCCUAGCAUAAGCCUUAGAUCCUGCUGUUAAAUGGAAAUGAUAUUGUGUAUAUCCUUCUAAACUCUUCCAUGUCUUGUUUUCUCUUCAGAUAGCAAAAUAGUCUCUGACUGUACUUGGAAAGUAUGCAACUAAGUUGGGGAAAAUAAAUUGUCUUCACCACUCAUGUCUGCUUCUGAAGCAGAAACAUAGUUAACUAAGCAAAAUUCUGAAAGAGAAGACAGUUAUACAGUACUAAUAAUAGCUAAUUAUAACUAUAUAAAGUUCUUAAAACAGUGCCUGGCAUAAAGUAAUUACUGUGAAAGUAUUAUCCAUUGUUAUUAUUUAUUGAGUACUUACUGUAUACCAGGCAUUGCUUAUAACCUUUUUAUUCACAAAACCCCUAUGAGAUAAGUAAUUUUAUUAUCCCUAUGGGGAAAUAAGUCCAGAGAAUUUAAAUCUUCCCAAGGUCAGAGAGUAAAUAAAUGACUGGGCAGGCUUCAAAUAGAGACAGCCCAGGUGCUUAACACAAAGUUUCCAGCCUCUCAGGAGUUACUGAGACCUAAUCCUACAAUUUCAUACUGAUUCCUUAAAAAGAGCAGGGAAUGAUAGCUGAUGAUAAAGAAUAUGUGAACUACUGACUUAAAAUGUAGUGCACUUUCCAUUGGUUGGCAUACUCCUAUGUAACCUUAAAUUGAAACUAUCUCUACUGCAAACUAACUUAUUUGCAAAUAGUUUUAAAAGUUUCAAAAUAAAACCACCCAUUCUUAUUUUUUCCU